GACGUGACCCCCAGGGUCUCUUUAUAUACCCCACUCUUUGCCCACCUCACACCAUUCAAGUUUAACCAACAGACUCCAGUGAACUACAUUGCUACUCUACUCCUCAAGUGCUACAGAGCGAACUGGACUGAAGGACCAUUUUUCAAAAGCGACAUUCUUCUCUGAGCAUAUCUAUUAAGAGGCAGCGACUACAUUUGUCAAGCCACUGCCAAUUAAAAACCCGCGACAGGCUGCGUUGCAGUAACAAGGACUGUAAAUCGGAUCAAUUCAUCAUUGUCCUGACAAGAAGAGGCUUCUUCACAAGGACAUCCGAAAAGUCUCCGGGACACUUUUUUUUUUAAAACUCUCUUCUCCCAAGUUUGAACUUUUACCACAGCAAGUGCGCUCGAGCUUGACAUCGACACGCUAAACUUUUUUUGCAGAUAACUUCACACAUCGGUCUGACUUGCUGUAUAAAAAGGGACACACGGAAAACCGCCAACAUGACGAGCAAUAACACACAUUACUACGACGACAGCCAGCCACCGCAGCACUACCAGGGCACUGACAACUUCGAGGGGGACGAGGAAGACGAGAUGCCGGCUACGGAGAAAGAUCUUGCCGAGGAUGCACCAUGGAAGAAAAUCCAACAGAACACCUUUACAAGAUGGUGCAACGAGCAUCUCAAGUGUGUCAAUAAGACCGUGACAGACCUCCAGAAGGAUUUUGGCGACGGGUUAAAGCUCAUUGGGCUCCUGGAGGUUCUGAGCCAGAAAAAGAUGUACAAAAAACACCACACCAGACCCAACUUCCGACAGAUGAAAUUGGAAAAUGUGUCCGUCGCUCUGGAAUUUUUGGACAGGGAACACAUCAAGUUGGUGUCUAUUGACUCCAAGGCCAUCGUGGACGGUAAUCUGAAACUGAUCCUAGGUCUGAUCUGGACUCUGAUCCUGCACUACUCCAUCUCCAUGCCCAUGUGGGAGGAUGAGGAUGAUGAGGAGGCUAAGAAACUGACCCCCAAGCAGAGGCUGCUGGGAUGGAUCCAGAACAAGGUGCCUGAGCUACCCAUCAACAACUUCCACCGCGACUGGAGGGAUGGCAAGGCCCUGGGAGCCCUGGUAGACAACUGUGCCCCUGGUCUGUGCCCCGACUGGAAGGCCUGGGACCCUAACCACCCUGUGGAGAAUGCCAGAGAGGCCAUGCAGCAGGCUGACGACUGGCUGGGCGUGCCCCAGGUGAUCGCCCCUGAGGAGAUUGUCGAUCCGGAUGUGGAUGAACACUCAGUGAUGACCUACCUGUCCCAGUUCCCCAAGGCUAAACUGAAGCCUGGCGCUCCCCUCAAACCUAAAGGCGUUCAGCUGUACCCCAACAAGGCCAAGGCAUACGGACCUGGUAUUGAUUCCCACGGAAACAUGGUUCUGAAGCCAGCAGUGUUCACAGUGGAGACUCUGCAGGCAGGUCAGGCCGAGGUGCUGGUCUAUGUGACCGAUCCCGAGGGACACACUGAGGAGGCUACGGUGGUCUUUAACAAUGACAAAAACAGGACCUACACUGUCACUUAUGUACCCAAGGUUGAGGGUGUCCACAAGGUAAAAGUGCUGUUUGCAGGACAGGACAUUGACAAGAGUCCCUACACAGUGAACGUUGCCAAGGCCAUGGGCGAUCCCAACAAGGUCCAGGCCAGAGGACCAGGGCUGGAACCUACCGGCAACGUGGCCAACAAACCCACCUAUUUUGACAUCUACACCGCAGGUGCUGGUAAUGGUGAUGUGAGUGUUGUCGUCGUGGAUCCUGAGGGGAAGAAAGAUACAGUGGAACUGAUUUUGGAAAACAAAGGGGACAGUGUUUUCCGUUGCACCUACCGGCCCAUGUUGGAGGGCCCCCACACCAUCCACAUCCUGUUCGCGGGUCAGGAGAUCCCCAAGAGCCCCUUCAAAGUUCAAAUCGCAGAGGCCAUCAAUGCCAACGCGUGUCGUGCCACGGGCCGAGGCCUCCAGCCUAAGGGGGUGAGGGUGAAGGAGGUGGCAGACUUCAAGGUCUUCACCAAGGGAGCCGGCAGCGGAGAGCUCAAAGUCUCCGUGACUGGACCAAGUGGAGCAGAGACACCAGUGAAAGUUAAGGAUAUUGGUGAUGGUGUCUAUGAGUGUGAAUAUCUCCCUGUCCAGACUGGUAAAUACACAGUUAACAUCACCUGGGGAGGACAACUCAUCCCACGCAGUCCCUUCGAGGUGGAGGUGAGUGAGGAGGUUGGCCCUCAGAAGGUGAGAGCUUGGGGCCCCGGGCUGCUGACCGGCCAGGUGGGCAAGUCAGCUGACUUCGUGGUCGAGGCCAUCGGCACCGAAGUAGGAACUCUGGGUUUCUCCAUCGAGGGUCCGUCCCAGGCUAAGAUAGAAUGUGACGAUAAGGGUGACGGCUCCUGCGAUGUCCGCUAUUGGCCCACUGAGCCAGGUGACUACGCCGUCCAUGUCAUCUGUGAUGACGAAGACAUCAAGGACAGCCCCUUCAUGGCCCACAUCCUGCCUGCAGCCAAUGACUGCUUCCCUGAAAAGGUGAAAGCUUUCGGUCCAGGUCUGGCGCCCACUGGGGUCAUUGUAAACAAACCGGCAGAGUUCACCAUCGAUGCCCGCGAGGCUGGCAACGGCCACCUCAAGAUCUAUGCCCAGGAUACAGAAGGUGUCACCAUCGACAUUAAGAUCACUGACAAGGGAGACGGCACCUUCCUGUGUGUGUACGUCCCCACCAAGCCCAUCAAACACACCAUCAUCAUCACCUGGGGAGACGUCAACGUGCCCAACAGUCCCUUCAGGGUGAUUGUUGGAGAGGGCUGCCACCCAGCCAAGGUCAAGGUGUAUGGUCCAGGAGUGGAGAAGACAGGACUCAAGGCAAACGAGCCCACCUACUUCACUGUGGACUGUGCCGAGGCUGGACAAGGAGACAUUAGCAUUGGGAUCAAGUGUGCUCCAGGAGUGGUGGGCCCAGCCGAGGCUGACAUCGACUUUGACAUCAUCAAGAACGACAAUGACACCUUCACUGUCAAGUACACUCCGCCCGGCGCAGGGAAAUACACCAUCAUGGUGCUGUUCGCUGAGCAGGAAAUCCCCAUCAGUCCAUUCAGAAUUAAGGUUGAUCCUUCCCAUGAUGCUGGUAAAGUGAGGGCUGAGGGCCCAGGACUCAACAAGACAGGCGUGGAGGUGGGUACUCCGACCCACUUCACCAUCUUUACCAAGGGAGCAGGCAAGGCCAAGCCUGAGGUCCAGUUCACAGCAGCAGGCCUGAAGGGGGAAGCUGUGAGGGACUUUGAGAUCAUCGACAACCAUGACUACUCCUACACCGUCAAGUACACCGCCGUUCAACAGGGCCAGAUGACCAUCUCUGUCACCCACGGAGGAGACCCCAUUCCCAAGAGCCCCUUCAAUAUUACUGUGGCUCCUCCUAUAGAUCUGGGAAAGGUCAAGGUGACAGGACUCGACACCAAAGUAGAGGUGGGCAAGGACCAGGAGUUCUCCAUCAACACCAAGGGAGCUGGUGGGCAGGGCGAGGUAGCCGUCAAGAUGACCUCACCCUCCGGCCGACCAAUCCCCUGCAAGCUGGAGUCAGACGCGGCCAAUGGCGCCCACUCUGUGAAGUAUAUCCCCCCAGAGGAGGGGCCUUACAAGGUGGACGUCAGCUACGAUGGGAACCCUGUCCCUGGAUCCCCCUUUGCAGUGGAGGGAGUGAUGCCUGCCGACCCUUCAAAGGUGCGCGCUUAUGGCCCAGGCCUGAAGGGAGGCAUUGUGGGUAAACCAGCUCCAUUCGCCAUCGACACCAAAGGAGCGGGCGCCGGUGGGCUGGGCCUGACGGUGGAGGGGCCAUGCGAGGCUAAGAUUGAGUGCCAGGACAACGGAGACGGAACCUGCUCAGUUUUCUACUUGCCCACUGAGGCUGGAGAGUACGCCAUCAACAUCCUGUUUGGAGAGCAGCACAUCCCUGGGUCUCCCUUCAAGGCAGCUGUGAAGCCAUGUCUCGACCCCAGCAAGGUAACAGCCAGUGGGCCAGGCCUGGAGAAGGCCAAGGCAGGGGAACCAGCCUACUUCACAGUGGACUGCACCAGUGCUGGAGAGGCUGAACUCACCAUUGAGAUCGUCUCUGAGUCUGGGGCUCAGGCCGAGGUCCACAUCCAGAAGACUGCAGAUGGGACCUUCUCUGUCACCUACAUCCCACCCUUCCACGGCACACACACCAUUACCAUCAAGUACGGGGGUCAUGUUGUACCCAAGUUCCCCGCGGUCAUCCAGGUGGAGCCGGCUGUGGACACCAGUGGUGUGCAGGUCUAUGGACCAGGGGUGGAGCCCAGAGGAGUCCUCAAGGAGGUCACCACCCACUUCAUCGUGGACGCCCGUAAAACGACCAAGAUUGGCGGUGACCACGUGAAAGCACGCAUCAUCAACCCUUCAGGCGCCAACACAGACGCCUACAUCACAGACAAGGGAGACGGAACCUACAGAGUGGAGUAUACCGCCUUCGAGGACGGUAUGCACCUGCUGGAGGUGUUGUACGAUGACGUGGCGGUCCCUAAGAGUCCGUUCAGGGUGUCUGUGGUGGAGGGCUGUGACCCCACCCGGGUCAGGGCCUACGGGCCAGGCCUGGAGGGAGGACUUAUCAACAAAGCCAACUGCUUCACCGUCGAGACCAGGGGUGCUGGUACUGGAGGCCUGGGCCUGACCAUAGAGGGAGCCUCCGAGGCUAAGAUGACCUGUAAAGACAACAAAGAUGGCAGCUGCAGCGUAGAGUACGUUCCCUUCACACCUGGAGAGUACGACGUCAACAUCAACUUCGGAGGACACCCCAUUCCAGGCAGUCCGUUCCGGGUGCCAGUGAAGGAUGUGGUGGACCCUAGUAAGGUGAAGUGUUCCGGUCCAGGGCUGGGGGAUGGAGUCAGAGCCCACGUACCUCAGGCCUUUACAGUGGACGCUACCCAGGCUGGAAAGGCAAAGGUGGAAGUACAGCUAACAGGACCAUCAGGUUCUGCUGAGCCUGUUGCUGUGAAGAACAACGGUGAUGGUACACAUACGGUCAACUACACCCCAGCUCAGGACGGCCCUUACACUGUGUCUGUCAAAUACGGAGAUCAGGAAGUCCCUCGCAGUCCAUUCAAGGUGAGGUCCCAGCCUGGUCAUGAUGCCAGUAAGGUGCGUGCCAGUGGUCCAGGUCUGGAUAAAUCAGGUGUGGCCGCCAGCCUACCAGUGGAGUUCACCAUCGAUGCCCGCGACGCAGGAGAGGGACUGCUCACUGUACAGAUACUGGAUCCCGAGGGCAAGCCAAAGAAGGCCACUAUCCAUGACAACAGAGAUGGGACAUACACAGUGUCCUACGUACCAGACUCCACCGGCCCCUACACCAUCACCAUCAAGUAUGGAGGAGAUGAGAUCCCCUACUCCCCCUACCGCAUCUCAGCUCUGCCCACUGGAGACGCCAGCAAGUGUCUGCUUACUGUGUCUAUCGGAGGCCGUGCCCUGGCGUCGGGUCUGACCAAGAUGCAGGCGCACGAAGAGACUAUCGUCUCCGUUGACGCAAAGGCUGCAGGGAAGGGCAAGGUGACCUGUUCGGUGACGACCCCAGCGGGGGUGGAGCUAGACAUGGACGUUCAGGAGAAUCGUGACGGAACCUACGACAUCUACUACACGGCUCCGGAACCUGGGAAAUACGUCAUCACCAUCCGGUUCGGAGGACAACACAUCCCCAAGAGCCCCUUCCAUGUAACGGCCACCAAGGAGCCUGUUGUCCCUAGCGACGGUAUGGAUCAGUUCAGACCUCUUAACUUGGUCAUCCCGUUCUCCGCUCAGCAGGGACCGAUCACAGGUGAGGUGCGUAUGCCCUCCGGUAAGACGGCCCGUCCCCAUAUCACAGACAACAAGGAUGGGACCAUCACAGUCAAGUUCAACCCUACUGAGAAGGGUCUGCAUGAGAUGGACAUCAAGUAUGAAGGAAACCACAUCCCAGGAAGUCCCCUCCAGUUCUAUGUCGAUGCUAUAAACAGUGGUCUGGUGACAGCGUAUGGGCCUGGGUUGUGUCAUGGCACCGUCAACAAACCUGCCACCUUUACCGUUGUCACCAAGAACGCUGGAGAAGGUGGUCUGUCCCUGGCUGUGGAAGGUCCCUCUAAGGCAGAGAUCAGCUGUAAAGACAAUAAGGACGGUACCUGUACUGUGUCCUACCUGCCCACCUCACCAGGAGACUACAACAUCAUCGUCAAGUUUGACAACAAGCACAUCCCCGGCAGUCCCUUCACUGCUAAGAUCACAGGUGAUGACUCUAUCAGGACGUCCCUGCUCAACGUAGGAACAGCAGCAGAUCUAUCCCUGAAGAUCACAGAGUCUGACCUGAGCCUGCUGACAGCUAGCAUCAGAGCUCCAUCAGGAACGAGGAGCCCUGUCUGCUCAAGAGACUGCCCAACAGACACAUCGGUAUCUCCUUUACCCCUAAGGAGGUGGGAGAGCACGAGGUGAGCGUGAAGAAGGGUGGUAAGCACGUGACCAAACAGCCCCUUCAAGAUCCAGGUUGGCCAGUCAGAGAUUGGCGAGGCCAGCCGGGUCAAGGCCUUCGGUAAAGGACUGGUGGAGGCACACACCUUUGAAAUGGCUGAGUUCUUUGUGGACACUAGGAAUGCAGGUUAUGGUGGUCUGGGAUUGUCUAUCGAGGGCCCGAGUAAAGUGGACAUAAACUGUGAGGAUGUGGAGGAUGGACUUGCAGAGUCAGUUACUGCCCCACAGAGCCAGGCAACUACAUUAUCAACAUCAAGUUCUCUGAUAAGCACAUCCCUGGAAGUCCUUUCACGGUGAAGGUAACAGGAGAAGGAAGAAUGAAGGAGAGCAUCACCAGGAAGAGAACAGCCCCCUCCAUCGCCUCUGUCGGCAGCGCCUGUGGCCUCAACCUGAAAAUCCCUGGAAACUGGUUCCAGAUGGUGUCAGCCCAGGAGAGGAUGACUCGUACGUUCACACGCAGCAGCCACACGUACACGCGCACAGAGCGCACGGAGAUCAGCAAGAUGAGGGGCGGAGAGACGAAGAGGGAGGUGAGGGUAGAGGAGAGCACCCAGAUGGGAGGAGCAGGAGGAGGCAGUCCCUUCAGAGAUGUGUUUGGAGACUUCCUGGGCAGAGAGAGUCUGGCUAGCUUCGCUGGUAUACCCGCUACAGCCACACCAACACCUGGUGAGACAGUUACCCAAGGUAGUAUGACAGCCCAGGUGACCAGCCCCGGGGGUUAAAACAGAACAGGCAGAGAUCGUAGAUGGAGGGGAUAGCACCUACAGCGUCCGCUUCGUACCCCAGGAGAUGGGGGCACACACGGUCAACGUGAAGUACAGCGGGCAGCAUGUCCCCGGAAGUCCCUUCCAGUUCACUGUUGGGCCCAUGGGAGAGGGAGGGUCCCACAAGGUCCGGGCUGGAGGCACUGGGCUGGAGAGAGGAGUGGCAGGAGUACCAACUGAGUUCAGUAUCUGGACGCGUUGAGGCUGGUGCAGGAGGCCUGUCCAUCGCAGUAGAGGGGCCCAGUAAGGCUGAGAUCUCAUUUGAAGACAGGAAGGAUGGAUCCUGUGGGGUGGCCUACAUCGUUCAGGAGCCAGGUGACUAUGAAGUGUCUAUCAAGUUCAACAACGAGCACAUCCCCGACAGCCCCUUCAUCGUUCCCAUAGCAACGCUGUCUGACGAGGCACGCAGACUCACUGUCACCAGCCUGCAGGAGAAGGAUCUGAAGGUGAAUCAGGAAGCGUCGUUCGCUGUGCAGCGUAACGGGGCGAGGGGCGUGGUCGAUGCUAAGGUCCACACCCCAUCUGGCUCAGCUGAGGAGUGUUACGUCACCGAGCUGGACAGUGACAAGAACGCGAUCCGCUUCAUCCCACGUGAGAACGGUGUGCACUCCAUUGACGUCAAGUUCAACGGCAGUCACAUCCCCGGUAGCCCGUUCAACGUGCGGGUUGGGGAGGCAGGACAGGCUGGAGACCCAGGCAUGGUGACAGCAUACGGGCCUGGCCUGGAGGGAGGAUCUACAGGCGUGGCCUCUGAGUUCGUAGUGAACACGUGUAACGCGGGGUCAGGUGCCCUGUCUGUGACCAUUGACGGCCCCUCUAAGGUCAAGAUGGACUGUUCUGAGUGCCCCGAUGGCUACAAGGUUAUCUACACUCCUAUGGCCCCUGGCAGCUAUCUCAUCAACAUCAAAUACGGAGGACCCAACCACAUAGUGGGCAGCCCCUUCAAAGCCAGAGUCACAGGUACCCGUCUGUCCGGUGGUCACAGCCUUCACGAGACGUCCUCGGUGCUGGUAGAGACGGUCACCAAGACUUCCAAGGUUGCCGGAGCGUACAGCUCCUUAUCGUCCUCAUCCAAACUGACCUCAGAUGCCAGCAAGGUGGUGUGUCGAGGCGCAGGGCUCUCUAAGGCUUUGGUGGGACAGAAGAACAUCUUCAAUGUAGACUGCAGCAAAGCAGGCUCUAACAUGUUGCUGGUGGGAGUGCACGGCCCCACGACCCCAUGUGAAGAGGUGUACGUCAAACACAUGGGCAACCGCCUCUACAACGUCACCUACACUGUCAAAGACAAGGGAAACUACAUCGUUAUCGUCAAGUGGGGCGACGAUAGUGUCACCGGUAGCCCCUUCAACGUUGCUGUGCCUUGAACGAACGUCAACGAACACCCGACCCCGGAUCCCCACCACACCUUGCUCCACUGCACCGCUACACUCCUCAGUGGACCGCUGUAGAACCGCCUCUCUCAACGUGCACUAAAGAAUCCAAGGACAUUUUUUUUUCUCUCCCUCUAGCCUAUAAAGGAAAAAAAAAAAUCCGAUUUCAGCCUUAAUUUAAAGAAUGUGCCAAAAGCUUGUUGUAUUAACUCUGUUACUGUUUUAGAGCGAAGUUCUAGGUGACUCGUGUGGUGUCAUAGAGAUGGAAAGAGGCGACUGCCCUCUAUACAACUCUAUGUGUACUGGAGACAUGCUCCAAGUCAUGUGAUGUUGGUCUAAGUAUUUUGACUGGUACAAGAUCCCCACCAAUAGAAAGGGAUUAUUGUGUGAGUGUUUAGGACAUAAGAUAAGUUGCUUUUUAAACAGUAUUAAAGUGUGAUAUUAUAUGAUUUUGUAUGCUUAAAGACAUUUGAAAAGUUAUUUUUAUUAUAUUAACCAAUUCCUUGGUAAGUCUUUGCAGAACUAAUAAUAAAGAUUCAACUGCUACCUUGGCA
Molecule: RNA transcript, 9188 nt
Organism: Oncorhynchus kisutch (coho salmon)
Lineage: Eukaryota; Metazoa; Chordata; Actinopteri; Salmoniformes; Salmonidae
Gene name: filamin-C-like
Exons: 43
Source: RefSeq, a predicted model, not a curated record